CCUACGGGAGGCAGCAGUGGGGAAUAUUGCGCAAUGGGCGAAAGCCUGACGCAGCGACGCCGCGUGAGGGAUGAAGGUCUUCGGAUCGUAAACCUCUGUCAGCAGGGAAGAACGGUCACUGUGCUAAUCAGCAGUGAAUUGACGGUACCUGCAAAGGAAGCACCGGCUAACUCCGUGCCAGCAGCCGCGGUAAUACGGAGGGUGCGAGCGUUAAUCGGAAUUACUGGGCGUAAAGCGCACGUAGGCGGUAAGUUAAGUCGAGGGUGAAAUCCCCGCGCGUAACGUGGGAACUGCCUUUCAAACUGGCAAACUUGAGUGUGUGAGAGGAUAGUGGAAUUCCAGGUGUAGGAGUGAAAUCCGUAGAUAUCUGGAGGAACAUCAGUGGCGAAGGCGACUAUCUGGCACAUAACUGACGCUGAGGAGCGAAAGCGUGGGUAGCAAACAGGAUUAGAUACCCUGGUAGUC
This 465-nucleotide ribosomal RNA is filed under the name uncultured bacterium. Its description in RNAcentral is "partial 16S ribosomal RNA". It matches the Rfam family "Bacterial small subunit ribosomal RNA", at positions 338 to 795 of the family's 1533-position model. The record is from RNAcentral.